Non-coding RNA from Microcebus murinus (gray mouse lemur), 1094 nucleotides. Lineage: Eukaryota; Metazoa; Chordata; Mammalia; Primates; Cheirogaleidae. The record is from RefSeq and is a predicted model, not a curated record.
CCACCCAAAGCUGAAUUUGUUAUCUCUCCAUCCAAACUAGUUCCUGUUCCAGUGUUGCUGUCAGAUUGAUGACAUUAACCUGGGCCACACCCACACCAGAACCCACAUGAGAAACCUGCUGCUAUGGUUCGAAAGUUUAUCCUCUUCCAAACUCGUGUUGAAAUGUAAUCGCCAUUGUAACAGUACUAAAGGGAAUGGUGGAAGUCACCAUCAGAGCUGUGAAAGAAGAGCAGCAAAAGUCAAAACGGAACAGCAGUUUCUCGAUUUCCCUGGGGCUUUCUGGUGAGGCUUCAGUUCGCUUCUCAGAACCAGAGGGGAGGACAGCAUCGCCACACGAGCACAGCAGGGGCUGAGAGUAAGCCAGCGCUGUCACUGUCAGAAGACCCCGGGCUUGAUGGCCUCCGGAGCAACGCCCUCAGCAGGGCGACUCGGUGUGCACGUUCUGAAUGUUCUAGAAGUUUCAUAGUGGAGGCCUGUGCCUUCCUCACAAAAUAUCCUUCCAUAUAUCCGAGGAAAGUAAGAAGGCCCAGCAUUUGUCCCCUUCAAGGUAUCAAGAGAAAGGAGUUCUAACGUCUCCUGGCCUUGAACCCUACUGCCAGACCCCCAGGUUAGGCACGCCAGGGUCCGAGCACCGUUCCUGCUGGACUCUGCCAUGACUUGCAAAUGAAAGCCACGUGACUCCCCCAGCACCCCACCAUACCCCCUAUCAUGUGAGAUAAACCUCCAUCGUUUUGGGGAUCAGGAAAAGGAACAUGACACAGAUGCACUCCUUCUUCAUGUGCCUUUGUAAAGGUGCAGAAAACGCUCAGAAGGUAAAAGCUCCUCACAUCCCGUUGGUUCGAGCCACAUUCCUGGGCUGUUUCUAAGCAGAUCACUGGCUUGGGGUGGGGCUCCCAUGGUGGCUCAGACUAGUCACAAUUCCCUUCCUGGGACCGGGGCUGGGCCAGGACUCCCUGAAGCACAGGCCUCCCAAUGCCAGAACCAAAGUGGGGUUCUCUUCUCAAGCAAGGAAGGGGGAGGAUCGGCAACCAAUUGUGUCUUCCACAAAGAAUAGUUAUAUUUAAAGAAAAGACUCAGUGAAAGGACCAUGCAAU